UGGGGAAUAUUGGGCAAUGGGCGCAAGCCUGACCCAGCAACGCCGCGUGAAGGAAGAAGGCUUUCGGGUUGUAAACUUCUUUUCUCAGGGACGAAGCAAGUGACGGUACCUGAGGAAUAAGCCACGGCUAACUACGUGCCAGCAGCCGCGGUAAUACGUAGGUGGCAAGCGUUAUCCGGAUUUACUGGGUGUAAAGGGCGUGUAGGCGGGACUGCAAGUCAGAUGUGAAAACCAUGGGCUCAACCUGUGGCCUGCAUUUGAACUGUAGUUCUUGAGUACUGGAGAGGCAGACGGAAUUCCUAGUGUAGCGGUGAAAUGCGUAGAUAUUAGGAGGGACACCAGUGGCGAAGGCGGUCUGCUGGACAGCAACUGACGCUGAGGCGCGAAAGCGUGGGGAGCAAACAGGAUUAGAUACC
This 416-nucleotide ribosomal RNA is filed under the name uncultured bacterium. RNAcentral describes it as "bacterial SSU rRNA". It matches the Rfam family "Bacterial small subunit ribosomal RNA", at positions 355 to 786 of the family's 1533-position model. The record is from RNAcentral.